Molecule: long non-coding RNA, 1300 nt
Filed under: Numida meleagris (helmeted guineafowl)
Lineage: Eukaryota; Metazoa; Chordata; Aves; Galliformes; Numididae
Description: lncRNA (ENSNMEG00000010547.1)
Source: RNAcentral
GGAAACAAACAGGAGGAGCUGGAAGCUACUGUGCUUCUUGAAAACCACCAUAUAGUUGUCAUCACCGAAACCUGGUGGGACGAUUCCCAUGACUGGAGACAGGCAAGGAAGGAGAGGUGGGGGAAUUGCAAUCUACACCAGCAAAGGAACAGAAUGUGAAGAGCUGUCCCUAAAGAACAGGCAUGAGCAAGUUGAAAGCCUGUGGGUGACGGUUAGAGACUGAGGCAGCAAAGGGAGCCUUGUGAUGGGUGUCUAGUACAAGCCACCAGAUCAGUCAAGGUGUGUCAAUGAGGCUUUCUACCUGCAGCUACGGAGGCAUUGCGAUCGCAAGCACAUGUCCUGCUGGGGGACUUCAUCCAGACAUCUGCUGGAAAAGUAGCACAGUGAGCUGCAGGCAAUCCAGGAGGCUCCUGGAAUGCACUGAGGACAACCUCCUAAGUCAAGUAAUUGACGGCCCCACCAGGGCGUAUACAAUACUGGACCUGUUGCUCACCAGUAUGAAUGAACUGAUUGGUGACAUCAGGAUUGGAGGCUGCCUGGGCUGUAGUGACCAUGCUAUGGUUGAAUUCAUGCUCUGGAGGGAUAUGACGCAAGUGAAGAGUAAAAUUAGGAAGCUAAACUUAAGGAAAGCUAAACUCCAGCUCUUCAGGGAGUUAAUCAGCAAAACACCCUGGGAAACCAUCCUCAUGGGCAAGGGUGAGGAGCAGAGCUGGCAGAUCUUUAAGGAGGUUUUCUUCAGGGCACAAGAGCUCUCCAUCCCCAGGUGUAGCAAGUCAGGAAAGGAAGGCAAGAGACUGUCAUGGCUGAACUGGGACCUGCCGGUCAAACUGGAGAGCAAGAAGAAAAUGCACAGGCAGUGGAAACAGGGACAGGUAUCACAGGAAGACUAUAAAGAAUCUGCUAGGCUGUGUGGGCAUGGGGUCAAGAAAGCCAAGGCCCAGCUUGAACUGAACAUAACUAGGGAUUCCAAAAAGAACAAGAAAGGCUUCUACAGGUACUUCAACCAGAAAAGGAAAGUUCAGGAGGGCAUACCUUCCCUAGUGAGUGACACAUGCAGGCUGGUAAAUAGAGACAAGGAGAAGCCUGAGGUACUUAACAACUUUUUUGCCUUAGUCUUUCCUAAUAACUGCACACCACACAGCCCUCAAAUGUUUGGUUUCGUAGGAGGGGAUCGAGGAAGCAACGUCCUUCCCACUGUAAGCGAAGAUCAGGUGUGACCACCUGAGGAACCUGAACAUCCACAAGUCUAUGGGUUCCAAUGACAUGCAUCCCAGAGUCCUGAGGGAAUUGCUUGAUGUAG